This is a long non-coding RNA of Corticium candelabrum, 1833 nucleotides long. RefSeq lists it as uncharacterized. The transcript is spliced from 3 exons. The record is from RefSeq and is a predicted model, not a curated record. Lineage: Eukaryota; Metazoa; Porifera; Homoscleromorpha; Homosclerophorida; Plakinidae.
GAACGGUAACAUCCAUAGUGUCUUGUGUGUUACUCUUAUUGCCUGUGGUAACAUGCGUACUUGCACUUCCAUAGUCUCUGGAAUGGGAAUCGCUAAAUGCUACGUGUAGAAGAGAUGUCGUUUCUUCAGGUCUUGAACUUGCAUUAGUUGUUAAAAAUUGAGGGUCACCAUUGUCUAAUGUUACACAACAUUGUGGUUGAUUGCAGUUGCUCUCAUUGUUGUUGACUUCUCCAUUGAGUUGCACUACAGAGUCAAAAUCAGCAGAGUUAUUGUCUGAUGUUUUAUUGCCUCCCAAUACUUUUUUAGAAGCUUUACUUCUUCUUCUUUUUACCAGCACCAAUACACUCAAUAGAAGAAGAACAACGACAGCAACGGUCGUUAACGUUAUUGCAAUUAUAGUUGUUGUUGAAGUUGUAUUGCAAGUCUCAACUGUAUAUGCAUUUUGUCCGUUAAUUUUUAUGAGUUGAGGCCAGGCCGAGGCAUAGGUGUAUACGACUGACAAUUUGCAAACAUCUUGCGACUUCAAACCGAAACUACAAACGUCAUGAGAGUCGUUUGCAUACUAAACUGUCGCAUUGACCUCGGACCCGUUAGCGUACGCUAUCCAAAGUUUUAAUGUGUGUUUGCAGUACAUUGAAGGCUGACUUUGAACUGUCGUAUUCCUCACUUUUAAUUUAAUUUUGCAGUAAAGUUCGUCUGAUUCGCUUUGAUUACAAUGGACGGUCGUAUCUCUCACAGAUAAGCGCCAUUCUAUGUUUGUGUCACAGAGUACAGAGGUUUGCACCUCAAUCUGCAGACAUUUGUUUGUUUUAGAGCAAUCAGCAAGAAUUUCCAAGUUUCCUGCAGUGACAGCUGCGGUAAUCGAAUUUUUGUGACAGUCAUUUGGUUUGAGAAGAACACUGACGUCUGUUGCUGUCAGAUUGGCAGAGCAACAUAACGUUUGACCAAAGUCUAGAGCAAUUCCUGCUUGAGGAUUGGAAUGGUCGGCGAGAGUCGGACUGACGUCUGUGGUCUGCCCGAUGUCCCAGCAGCGGUCCGGGCGAAUUUUUUUUUGGGACGAGGUUACGACUUAGCCGCUGGAGCGAAAGUGGUCUGUUAGUACGAGGCUCGCAGCGCAGCUUUGAUUCUCGGUAGUCAAUGGACAUGUUACAACCGCGAUUUUGACGGGGCCCCAGUUUUGAACGUCACGUCGGCUGAACGUGGUUUUCUCGGCACAAAUCGACUUCAAAUAUAUUGGACGGCAGAGUGUGCAAUUGAAGAUUGGCAACAUCCGGGACCUUUGGGUCAGAGUUCAAAUGCGGAAGGGGCACAUACAUAAGUUUCCUUGAGCAAGGAACUAACAUACAAUUGCCUCAGUUCUGUCCAAGCAGCAAAGAAGAAGUGACAUAUAGAAAGUGACUACUGAUAGUGUUUUGAUUGUAUGGUAGUAUCAUAGAAAGUAUCAUGGCAAGUACUUAGCAUCUGUAGUAACCUAGGCCCUAAGGGCCCUUGUAACAAAAAGAUAUGUAUGUAUGUAUAUAUGUAUGUAUAUAUGUAUGUAUAUAUGUAUGUAUAUAUGUAUGUAUAUAUGUAUGUAUGUAUGUAUGUAAUUAUACCUUUGGGAUAACUGGUUAUACAAGAGUAAAUCCAUCUGUUUCUUUGUUCUGCACUUUAUGAACAGUUCUAAUAGUUGCAUUUGCAACAACUAGAAUGAGCAAUUAAAUAUUAAAUGUGCAGGAAAUGCAUGUAUCUAGGUGCAGAGAAUAUACUGGUGACACAUUUUCUAAUAACUUACUCAUUUCACAAAAAACUAUUUAGAUGGUAUUGUACACUUAUUCUGAACUGAGCAAAUGA